CCUACGGGUGGCAGCAGUGAGGAAUAUUGGUCAAUGGACGCAAGUCUGAACCAGCCAUGCCGCGUGCAGGAAGACGGCUCUAUGAGUUGUAAACUGCUUUUGUACGAGGGUAAACGCAGAUACGCGUAUCUGUCUGCAAGUAUCGUACGAAUAAGGAUCGGCUAACUCCGUGCCAGCAGCCGCGGUAAUACGGAGGGUUCAAGCGUUAUCCGGAUUUAUUGGGUUUAAAGGGUGCGUAGGCGGUCGGAUAAGUUAGAGGUGAAAUCCCGAGGCUCAACUUCGGAAGUGCGUCUGAUACUGUUCGGCUAGAGAGUAGUUGCGGCAGGCGGAAUGUAUGGUGUAGCGGUGAAAUGCUUAGAGAUCAUACAGAACACCGAUUGCGAAGGCAGCUUACCAAGCUACUUCUGACGUUGAGGCACGAAAGCGUGGGGAGCAAACAGGAUUAGAUACCCCGGUAGUC
Molecule: ribosomal RNA, 460 nt
Filed under: uncultured bacterium
Lineage: Bacteria
Description: partial 16S ribosomal RNA
Rfam family: Bacterial small subunit ribosomal RNA
Source: RNAcentral